RNAcentral lists this transfer RNA (74 nucleotides) under Longimicrobiales bacterium. RNAcentral describes it as "tRNA-Arg". It matches the Rfam family "tRNA". Rfam says of the family: Transfer RNA (tRNA) molecules are approximately 80 nucleotides in length. Their secondary structure includes four short double-helical elements and three loops (D, anti-codon, and T loops). Further hydrogen bonds mediate the characteristic L-shaped molecular structure. tRNAs have two regions of fundamental functional importance: the anti-codon, which is responsible for specific mRNA codon recognition, and the 3' end, to which the tRNAs corresponding amino acid is attached (by aminoacyl-tRNA synthetases). tRNAs cope with the degeneracy of the genetic code in two manners: having more than one tRNA (with a specific anti-codon) for a particular amino acid; and 'wobble' base-pairing, i.e. permitting non-standard base-pairing at the 3rd anti-codon position. Lineage: Bacteria; Pseudomonadati; Gemmatimonadota; Longimicrobiia; Longimicrobiales. The record is from RNAcentral.
GCCCCCGUAGCUCAGGUGGAUAGAGCGGCUGCCUCCUAAGCAGCAGGCCAGAGGUUCGAGUCCUCUCGGGGGCA